CUCGUAGGCGGCUUGUCGCGUCGUCCGUGAAAACCCACAGCUCAACUGUGGGCUUGCGGUCGAUACGGGCAGGCUAGAGUUCGGUAGGGGAGACUGGAAUUCCUGGUGUAGCGGUGAAAUGCGCAGAUAUCAGGAGGAACACCGGUGGCGAAGGCGGGUCUCUGGGCCGAUACUGACGCUGAGGAGCGAAAGCGUGGGAGCGAACA
This 206-nucleotide ribosomal RNA is filed under the name uncultured bacterium. RNAcentral's name for it is "partial 16S ribosomal RNA". It matches the Rfam family "Bacterial small subunit ribosomal RNA", at positions 568 to 774 of the family's 1533-position model. The record is from RNAcentral.